GGAAAACCCAAACUAGCUGCACUUUUCAAUUCAAGAUCCGAAUUAUCCAUUCAAUUUCUUUCAAAAAACUUCAGAAUGUUGGAUUUUGAAUCAAGAAAGAUGGGUUUAAAGGUGAGUGCUUCCCAAAAAUUGGAAGAGAAGAAUGUACCGGAGUCGGGUAGCCAAUGGGGGAAAGUGUCGGCAGUGUUGUUUGAUAUGGAUGGUGUGCUCUGCAAUAGUGAGGAAUCGUCAAGAAAAGCGGCUGUUGAUGUUUUUGCUGAGAUGGGUGUUCAAGUAACCGUUGAAGACUUUGUGCCUUUCAUGGGCAUGGGUGAAGCAAACUUCUUAGGUGGUGUUGCUGCUGCUAAGGGUGUUGAAGGAUUUGAUACCGAGGCUGCAAAGAAGAGGUUCUUUGAGAUAUAUUUAUCAAAGUAUGCAAAACCGAAUUCUGGCAUUGGUUUCCCUGGUGCCUUUGAACUUGUCUCUCAGUGUAAAAGCAGUGGUCUCAAAGUUGCUGUUGCAUCUAG
Molecule: unclassified non-coding RNA, 506 nt
Filed under: Hevea brasiliensis (rubber tree)
Lineage: Eukaryota; Viridiplantae; Streptophyta; Magnoliopsida; Malpighiales; Euphorbiaceae
Source: RNAcentral